CUGGCAACUCCGCCUGUAGCUCUCCUAGAGAUACUGCCGGUCCCAAGCCCGGAUAAAAGGAGGAGGGUUGG
RNAcentral lists this non-coding RNA (71 nucleotides) under Schistosoma mansoni. Lineage: Eukaryota; Metazoa; Platyhelminthes; Trematoda; Strigeidida; Schistosomatidae. The record is from RNAcentral.